AUGAUAUUCUAUAUCAUGAUAUUCUAUAUCAUGAUAUAUAAUAUAUAAAACUGAAAAAUCAAGAAGUGGAAUCAGCAUGAGAUUUCACUACAAAGGUAAACACCAGCAGAAAUGGCUGAGUUCUAAGGGUUGCCUAGGGAGGGACUUGUGUUGGGGAUGGGGGGGCAGGAGAUUGCUGCCCUAUGUUAUAAGCUUUAUAGUACAGUUUUUAACUGUGUACCAAAUUAUAUUUCUAACAAUGGAAUUUUUUGUGGAAAAAUAUGUAUCAAACAGGAUAAACCCGUGGGAUGUGGGUGGGAGCCCUGGAGCCAUAGCAGGAAAGUAAGAUAAAGAGGCGAUGAGGACCUGCCUAGCAGAGAAAAUACAGCCCCAGAGGCCCCUAUAUCCAAAUGUCCAGCCUGUAAGGGGCUGUUGCCUCUGCCUCCCGGCUCUCAGGAACCUCUGUGCUGGGACCGACACCCCCUUUAGACUCCUCAGACUUGAUGUAGCACAAGCCACCACACUCAGCUCCCACUAGAACCCCGUGCCUGGACCAGACCUAGUUUAGGAGAAGGACCCAAUCCUUACAGCCUCCAGGGUGAAUUCCAAAUGUGUUUCCUAGAGAUGUGUCCCAGGGUUGAUGGGGUUCUGAAGCAGUUUCAUCAUGUGUUAACCCCGGAAGCCUUCAGCUUUAGGGCAGAGAUGGGAUGCAGAUACCCCCACCAGGGUCUGGGAGCUGCCAGGAGUCAAGGGUUCUUUAUGGUGGUUCUGGGAACCAAGAAAUCCUUGCUUUCUGAGUCUCAAGCAUCCAACUUACAAAUUAACUUUUGAACCUGAGACUCUCACAGUUAGGGGUGGAGGAGGUUCUGUGUCAUCUGUAAAAAUCGUGGAGUGCAGAAAUGAUUUGUCCCAAAUAUUAGAUAACCCAAGUAGUCCCUAAAAGAGACCACAGGUGGAAAGCUCAUGAACUUUGGAUACCUGAUUUUGAAUCCCAGCUCUACUACUUAGUACCUGAAAUUAUGGGUACUUCUCUGUCUCAGCUUCCUCAUCUGUAAAAUGGGGAUAAUACUUGCUUCACAGGAUUGUUGUGGAAAUUAAAAACUUGAAAGCACUUGUAAAACUCCUAACACUGCUAUUAGUCAUGACUUCCGCAGGAUUCAGCUGUGGCACUUGCCUCAAGAGUUGUUCAGAUGACGUAAGAAGGCGGAUUCUUGACCACUGCGCCACCAGGGAAGUGCAGGAGACCAACUUUGAAGACCCAUGGAUCUAGUGGAACCAGUUUACCUCUGUCUCCCUGGACUGACACCCCUAGACCGACCCAGGCAGGGGAGUGGCGGGCGGGUGAUGAGGACCAUGCUGGCAGAGGAAACACAGCGCCCCACUGGACGAGGAGACAAGCCCGGGAACAAGUCCUGCGAGUCCUGCUGCCGCAUCCCACCCCUGGAGAGAGGCCCCACCCCCAGCUGUUCCUUAGCCCUGGAGCAAAGAGCAUCCACAGGCCCAGCAGGUUCCCAGAAGCCUGAAAUCUCUAUCUCUUCCUGUUCCUGCCUCUCCGGUGAACUGUCUCCGACGUGUUCUCCCCAAGUGCCGUGCCGGGGAGCAGCAGGCAGUGGAGAGGAGAGCUGCCCGGCUGGAGGCCCAUCAGGGACCCCAGGCGGUGCCCUCCCUCGCUUCCCUCACAGCUCCCACCUCCUCACACCACUUUGUUUGCUGACAACAAACAGAGCCCUCAAUUCCACUGAGCCAGGGCCUGGGAGAGAUGAAGCAUUUUGCUGUGUAAUAAUCGUCAUGGCCACCAUCUGUUGAGUCAGGCACCCGCUGCAUGCUUUAGGGAUCCUCACCCACCUAUGCAGCAGAUACUUCUAAUGUUCCCAUUUUACAGAAGAGGAAACUGAGGCCCAGGGUGACCAAGAGUGCCUGUAUUUGAAUGCAGAGCAGUCAGGUGCCAAAGACCAUGCUGGGUUGAGCAGGGGGGCGCGGUCUGGUGAAAACAAAUCAGGAUUCAGUGCGGGGAGGGAGGUAUGCGCAGGCAGAGAAAGACACAGAUCAUAAUGUCUAGAUGAGUAGGGUAAAGUCAGCCCCUUGUCCCACUGGGGUAUUUUCCUUCCACUAAUUAACAAAUGAGAAUAAAGUUCAGUCACUGCACAGAGAUUUUGCCCCCGUGUUGGACGCUGUCUCAUGCCCAGCGAGGCUGAGCACACGCCAUGCUCUCCUGAGUCCUCCCUUAUCGGGAGACCCAGGGUAGGCUCAGGGAAGCAGUUGUCUUUUCAGGCCUGUAUAAGCAGGAGGAUUUGGCUUAGAGGGUUUGCAGGAGCUUCCGUCAAUCAAAUAGCCUCUCAGCACCUUUGGGGCCAGAGCCUGUCUCUGGACCGACCUGAAACUCCUCCCAGGGCUGUGGGAGCCGCACCUGGGCGUGACCCCUGAGCUCCAGGACUGGGAGCUGCAAUGCCACAGCCCCCAACCCAUCUCAGCUGUCAAACCUCCACAGCUGUCUCGUCUUCCCACGCCACCUGCCCCUUUCCUUCAUCCUCUUUAUUUUUUUUUAUUGUGGUAAAAUACACAUAACAUAAAUUUUAACCAUUUUUAAGUGUACGGCUCAAGUGACAUUAAAUCCAUUCACAUUGCUGUGCAGCCAUCACCACCAUCCUCCCCAGAGCGUUCUCAUCAUCCCAGGGUGAGCCCUGUGCCCGUUCAACACUAACUCCCCGUCCCUCCCUCCCCACCCCCAGGCACGCCCGUUCUACUUUCUGUCUCUAUAACUUAACUACUCUAGGUGCCUCAUGUAAGUGGAAUCAUACAGUAUUUGUUCUUUUGUGUCUAGCUUAGUGUUCUCGAGGU
Long non-coding RNA from Physeter macrocephalus (sperm whale), 2817 nucleotides. RefSeq lists it as uncharacterized. The transcript is spliced from 3 exons. The record is from RefSeq and is a predicted model, not a curated record. NCBI's taxonomy places the organism in Eukaryota, Metazoa, Chordata, Mammalia, Artiodactyla, Physeteridae.